This 1355-nucleotide ribosomal RNA is filed under the name metagenome. RNAcentral's name for it is "bacterial LSU rRNA". It matches the Rfam family "Bacterial large subunit ribosomal RNA", at positions 1578 to 2925 of the family's 2925-position model. The record is from RNAcentral.
CUUGCCGCCGAAGUGAGUGAUACCCUGCUUCCAGGAAAAGCCACUAAGCUUCAGCUACACACGACCGUACCGCAAACCGACACUGGUGCGCGAGAUGAGUAUUCUAAGGCGCUUGAGAGAACUCUGGAGAAGGAACUCGGCAAAUUGACACCGUAACUUCGGAAGAAGGUGUGCCUUUAGUAGGUGAACCAGUACAUGGGGAGCCCAAUGAGGCCGCAGAGAAUCGGUGGCUGCAACUGUUUAAUAAAAACACAGCACUCUGCAAAGACGAAAGUCGACGUAUAGGGUGUGACGCCUGCCCGGUGCUGGAAGAUUAAAUGAUGGGGUGCAAGCUCUUGACUGAAGUCCCAGUAAACGGCGGCCGUAACGAUAACGGUCCUAAGGUAGCGAAAUUCCUUGUCGGGUAAGUUCCGACCUGCACGAAUGGCGUAAUGAUGGCCACACUGUCUCCUCCAGAGACUCAGCGAAGUUGAAAUGUUUGUGAUGAUGCAAUCUCCCCGCGGAAAGACGGAAAGACCCCAUGAACCUUUACUGUAGCUUUACAUUGGACUUUGAACAGAUCUGUGUAGGAUAGGUGGGAGGCUUUGAAGCGGUGCCGCUAGGUGUCGUGGAGCCAACCUUGAAAUACCACCCUGGUGUGUUUGAGGUUCUAACCUUGGCCCGUGAUCCGGGUUGGGGACAGUGUAUGGUGGGCAGUUUGACUGGGGCGGUCUCCUCCCAAAGUGUAACGGAGGAGUUCGAAGGUACGCUAAAUACGGUCGGAAAUCGUGUUGAUAGUGCAUUGGCAUAAGCGUGCUUGACUGCGAGACUGACAAGUCGAGCAGGUACGAAAGUAGGACAAAGUGAUCCGGUGGUUCUGUAUGGAAGGGCCAUCGCUCAACGGAUAAAAGGUACUCUGGGGAUAACAGGCUGAUACCGCCCAAGAGUUCAUAUCGACGGCGGUGUUUGGCACCUCGAUGUCGGCUCAUCUCAUCCUGGGGCUGUAGCCGGUCCCAAGGGUAUGGCUGUUCGCCAUUUAAAGAGGUACGUGAGCUGGGUUUAAGACGUCGUGAGACAGUUUGGUCCCUAUCUUCCGUGGGCGCUGCAAGAUUGAGAGAGCCUGCUCCUAGUACGAGAGGACCGGAGUGGACGCACCUCUGGUGUAUCGGUUGUCACGCCAGUGGCAUUGCCGAGUAGCUAAGUGCGGAAGAGAUAACCGCUGGAAGCAUCUAAGCGGGAAACUCGUCUCAAGAUGAGUCUUGCCGGGGCCUUGAGCCCCCUGAAGGGUCGUUCGAGACCAGGACGUUGAUAGGCUGGGUGUGGAAGCGCAGUAAUGCGUUAAGCUAACCAGUACUAAUUGCCCGUGAGGCUUGACU